GUGUCAGCCGCCGCGGUAAUACGGAGGGUGCAAGCGUUAUCCGGAUUCACUGGGUUUAAAGGGUGCGUAGGCGGGCAGGUAAGUCAGUGGUGAAAUCCCCGGGCUUAACUUGGGAACUGCCGUUGAUACUAUCUGUCUUGAAUAUCGUGGAGGUGAGCGGAAUAUGUCAUGUAGCGGUGAAAUGCUUAGAUAUGACAUAGAACACCCAUUGCGAAGGCAGCUCACUACACGAUAAUUGACGCUGAGGCACGAAAGCGUGGGGAGCAAACAGGAUUAGAUACCCCGGUAGUCC
RNAcentral lists this ribosomal RNA (292 nucleotides) under uncultured bacterium. RNAcentral describes it as "partial 16S ribosomal RNA". It matches the Rfam family "Bacterial small subunit ribosomal RNA", at positions 505 to 796 of the family's 1533-position model. The record is from RNAcentral.